AAAGUCACAAAAAUAGCACUUAAUGUUUUAUCAAAAGUCACAAAUUUAAGGUUUAGAGUUAAAGGGUAUGGUUUAGGGUUUAGAGUUUAGGGUUUAGGGUUUAGGGUUUAGGGUUUAGAGUCUAGGGUUUAGAGUUUAGGGUUUAGGGUUUAGGAUUUAGAGUUGAGAAAUGAGGUUUUGGGGAUAAGAUUUCAAAUUUUGAAAAAUAAAAAUAUUAGAAUUUUCAAAGGAUAAACUUAGAAAAGUGCUAUUUUGGUCAUUUUAGUUUUUGAGUGCUAUUUUUGUGAUAUAAACUUAGAAAGGUGCUAUUUUGGAGAUUUGCCCAAAAACUGUUCGGGAUAUUCCGAGGAUUUCAUUUUUCGUCAGAAUAUCCGUCAGAAUACCGCUGUUUUCUUGUAGUGUUUGAUUAAAAGCAAGAAGGGGUAUGCAGAUAUUCAUACAGCAAAACGAAUGGAAGAUAUGGAUUUAUAGGUUUAAAAGCAAAAUAAUUUCAAUGCCAUGGACGGUUACAAAGAAGCAUGUUAUCUCCUGCACCAGUGGGAGUGUGUUGGAGCAGAUUAUGAUGUAACAGAUGGAUUGCAUCAAAUGAUCUAUAUAAAAAAGGUAUUUACUCACAACAGUUGAGAGCCUCAAAAAAAGAUCUUACAAAACCAAGAACGAUGUGAAGAAAAACUAGCGGAUCAGCAUGUCCUACUAAUGCGUUAAGAAGCAUCGUGUUACUGUUGUUUUUAGUAAAUUUUUUUGGUCAUCGGUUUUUUCCGAGAAACACAUUUUUCCUCGGAAUUUCCUCGGAAUAUACCGACGGAAUUCCGAGGAAAUAUCAAUCCGUCGGAAUAUUCCGACGAAAUUCCGAGGAAAAAUGUGUUCCUCGGAAAAAACCGAUGAAUUCCGAGGAAAUAUUAUAGCCGUUGGGAGAUUUUACAAAAUUACGAGGAAAUUCCGUGGAACACUUAAUAUUUAGAGAUGCCAUGGGCUUUGUACUAAGGAAGAGUCUUUCCCAGUUUAACUCUUCUUGUUGGUUUUGUCGGAACAAAAAUGCAGACUUCGGUGACCAAACUCGGCUUUAUUGCGAUACUGACCGAACCGGAGUUUGAUUAAGAUAAACCGAUAAGCUCAAAUGAGAACCGGUUUGCAGGCUAGUAAAGCAAAAAAUAAAAAAAGGUCCUACCGAGAUUUGAACUCGGGUUACUGGAUUCAGAGUCCAAUGUCCUGACCACUAGACCAUAGGACCAAUUGCUUUCAAUCACUUUAGGUCUGUUUAAGAAGAAAAUGUAUUAUUCGCCAUGGUGGCCACCGAGGCAGCAGUCUUGGGAAAAGCUCCGAUCAAAGUAAUGGACCAGAGCUGUGACAAGUGACAACUACCAAUUUUUUUAAAAAGUUGGCUUCGGGCAUAUUAUUUUUAUAACUAAUUUAAAAGGCAUAAUUCCAAAAUUAUAUUCUAUAUGAUCAACUCAUAAAAACAUUUCGAAAAGUUGUUUUAAUUUGAACUUUAUUAUUAUAACAUCUAACUUUAUUGAUUUCAAAUCCAAUGUAACAGAUUACAUGAAAAAACAUAAGGUACAAAAAAUAUGUUAUUAAGAAAAAAAUUGAGAAAAAGACAAAAAUAGCACUAAAUCAAGUUUAUGUUCUCAAACUAGCAUUCAAGGUCAAAAGUCACAAAAAUAGCACUUAAUGUUUUAUCAAAAGUCACAAAUUUAAGGUUUAGAGUUAAAGGGUAUGGUUUAGGGUUUAGAGUUUAGGGUUUAGGGUUUAGAUUUUAGGGUUUAGGGUUUAGGGUUUAGAGUUUAGGGUUUAGGGUUUAGGGUUUAGGGUUUAGAGUCUAGGGUUUAGAGUUUAGGGUUUAGGGUUUAGGAUUUAGAGUUGAGAAAUGAGGUUUUGGGGAUAAGAUUUCAAAUUUUGAAAAAUAAAAAUAUUAGAAUUUUCAAAGGAUAAACUUAGAAAAGUGCUAUUUUGGUCAUUUUAGUUUUUGAGUGCUAUUUUUGUGAUAUAAACUUAGAAAGGUGCUAUUUUGGAGAUUUGCCCAAAAACUGUUCGGGAUAUUCCGAGGAUUUCAUUUUUCGUCAGAAUAUCCGUCAGAAUACCGCUGUUUUCUUGUAGUGUUUGAUUAAAAGCAAGAAGGGGUAUGCAGAUAUUCAUACAGCAAAACGAAUGGAAGAUAUGGAUUUAUAGGUUUAAAAGCAAAAUAAUUUCAAUGCCAUGGACGGUUACAAAGAAGCAUGUUAUCUCCUGCACCAGUGGGAGUGUGUUGGAGCAGAUUAUGAUGUAACAGAUGGAUUGCAUCAAAUGAUCUAUAUAAAAAAGGUAUUUACUCACAACAGUUGAGAGCCUCAAAAAAAGAUCUUACAAAACCAAGAACGAUGUGAAGAAAAACUAGCGGAUCAGCAUGUCCUACUAAUGCGUUAAGAAGCAUCGUGUUACUGUUGUUUUUAGUAAAUUUUUUUGGUCAUCGGUUUUUUCCGAGAAACACAUUUUUCCUCGGAAUUUCCUCGGAAUAUACCGACGGAAU
This 2506-nucleotide long non-coding RNA is filed under the name Brassica napus (rape). RNAcentral's name for it is "long non-coding RNA (BNAP_LNC026430)". The record is from RNAcentral. Lineage: Eukaryota; Viridiplantae; Streptophyta; Magnoliopsida; Brassicales; Brassicaceae.